ACUNGGUAUACCCGUUGCUAAAUUCUCCUAUUAACAAUUGAAAACCCCAUGCGUUUCAUUCUGGAAUGGCUGCUCUCUUGGUGCCGCUGACNCCUCGACCCCGCGGCNUAUCAGUUAGUUGGUGUCGUCCCGGUUCACCCAAGGUUCACGAUGCAUAGCCCGACCUGAGAGGGUGAUCGGCCACAUUGGGACUGAGACACGGCUCAAACUCGUACGGGCGGCAGCAGUAGGGAAUCUUGGGCAAUGGAUGAAAGUCUGACCGAGCAACGCCGCGUGAGUGAAGAAGGUUUUCGGAUCGUAAAACUCUGUUGUUAGAGAAGAACAAGGGUGAGAGUAACUGUUCACCCCUUGACGGUAUCUAACCAGAAAGCCACGGCUAACUACGUGCCAGCAGCCGCGGUAAUACGUAGGUGGCAAGCGUUGUCCGGAUUUAUUGGGCGUAAAGCGAGCGCAGGCGGUUUCUUAAGUCUGAUGUGAAAGCCCCCGGCUCAACCGGGGAGGGUCAUUGGAAACUGGGAGACUUGAGUGCAGAAGAGGAGAGUGGAAUUCCAUGUGUAGCGCUGAAAUGCGUAGAUAUAUGGAGGAACACCAGUGGCGAAGGCGGCUCUCUGGUCUGUAACUGACGCUGAGGCUCGAAAGCGUGGGGAGCAAACAGGAUUAGAUACCCUGGUAGUCCACGCCGUAAACGAUGAGUGCUAAGUGUUGGAGGGUCNCCCGCCCUUCAGUGCUGCAGCUAACGCAUUAAGGCACUCCCGCCCCGGCCUCCCCCAU
This 771-nucleotide ribosomal RNA is filed under the name Enterococcus mundtii. RNAcentral's name for it is "bacterial SSU rRNA". It matches the Rfam family "Bacterial small subunit ribosomal RNA", at positions 136 to 873 of the family's 1533-position model. Lineage: Bacteria; Bacillati; Bacillota; Bacilli; Lactobacillales; Enterococcaceae. The record is from RNAcentral.